Molecule: ribosomal RNA, 567 nt
Filed under: uncultured archaeon
Lineage: Archaea
Description: bacterial SSU rRNA
Rfam family: Archaeal small subunit ribosomal RNA
Source: RNAcentral
CGGGGUGCAGCAGGCGCGAAAACUUUACAAUGCUGGCAACAGCGAUAAGGGGACCUUGAGUGCCAGGAUACAAUCCUGGCUGUCGUGAUGCCUAAAAAGCAUUAUAUAGCAAGGGCCGGGCAAGACCGGUGCCAGCCGCCGCGGUAACACCGGCGGCUCGAGUGGUAACCGCUAUUAUUGGGUCUAAAGGGUCUGUAGCCGGCUUGGUUAGUCUCUUGGGAAAUCCGGCAGCUUAACUGUCGGGCUUUCAGGAGAUACUGCCAGGCUCGAGACCGGGAGAGGUGAGAGGUACUUCAUGGGUAGGGGUGAAAUCUUGUAAUCCUUGAAGGACCACCAGUGGCGAAGGCGUCUCACCAGAACGGACCUGACGGCAAGGGACGAAAGCUAGGGGCACGAACCGGAUUAGAUACCCGGGUAGUCCUAGCCGUAAACGAUACUCGCUAGGUGUCGGCCACGGUGCGACCGUGGUCGGUGCCGUAGGGAAGCCGUGAAGCGAGCCACCUGGGAAGUACGGCCGCAAGGCUGAAACUUAAAGGAAUUGGCGGGGGAGCACAAGGGCAAUUCGCG